CUCUGCUGACCUCCUGUUCCUCUGCCUUUGCUUUUCAGCGGCACAGAGCCGAGAGCUGGGUGAGUCCUUGCAGUCCCUGCCCCCAGCCAUUGGGGAAGUGGUGUCCCUGCGGGAGGGACUGUGCUGGGUGGGCUGUGGGGGCUUGUGUGCUGGUGGCUCGGGGGUGCUGGAGGAGUAGCUGGAGCCUGACGGGGGAGUGGGGAGUGCUGGGGCUGCCCUGGGCACGGGACACGGCCAGGAUGGCUGAAAGGAACGGGGAUCAAGGUGGGGACGGGGAGCGAGCUGCGGGGCUGCCCUGCUCUGCACUGACGCUUCUGCGACAGGGACGUCCUCCACCCGUCCCCAUUCCCUUCCACUUGUGUUUUGGUGACACAGUGCAGAGAGCUGCACAAGUGUCUGUCCUUAAUGCUCCAUGUGCAUGAGCCUUGCUCAAAGCAGGGUCUUGCUCCCUGUUAUUCCGGUCCCUCCCAGUCUGGGAACAAGGUGGCCUGUGCCCACUCAACACUGUACAGAUUUUGAUGUCUUCUUUUGGUGUCUUCUUUUGGUGUCAUGGGAGCCACCAUGAGAUGAGAACAGAAAUCUAUGAUCACGUAUUGCAUUUAUUUUCCUUUUCUAGUGAAAAAAGAUGCAGAGCUGGGUAAGUCUCCUUUAAUAUAUCCAAAGAUUUGGUGUCUUCCCAUGGGAGCUGUGAAGGGUCAGUAGGUGUCCCUUCUCAUCAUGUUAUGCUCUCUUCUCUUCCUUUUCCCGUGGAACAAGCUCAACAGCUUGAGGAAAAAGAGGAAAUGCUGGGUGAGUCUGAAGGAAUUUGAGCUUACCCUUGUCAGUAACCUUGCUAUGAGGAGCUCUCUCCUCUCAUCAUGCAUUGCUUUUCUUUCUCUUGCAGCUUCAACAGCUACAGAGCUGGAGAAAAAAGAUGCAAAGCUGGAGAAACAAGCUGCAGAGCUGGGUGAGUGUCCCU
This 958-nucleotide long non-coding RNA is filed under the name Anser brachyrhynchus (Pink-footed goose). Its description in RNAcentral is "lncRNA (ENSABRG00000013241.1)". The record is from RNAcentral. Lineage: Eukaryota; Metazoa; Chordata; Aves; Anseriformes; Anatidae.